This 57-nucleotide transfer RNA is filed under the name Loxodonta africana (African savanna elephant). It matches the Rfam family "tRNA", at positions 1 to 63 of the family's 71-position model. From Rfam's summary of the family: Transfer RNA (tRNA) molecules are approximately 80 nucleotides in length. Their secondary structure includes four short double-helical elements and three loops (D, anti-codon, and T loops). Lineage: Eukaryota; Metazoa; Chordata; Mammalia; Proboscidea; Elephantidae. The record is from Rfam by way of RNAcentral.
UGGUGCAGUGGUUAAGCGUUUGGCUGCUAACCAAAAGGCUGGUAGUUCAAAUCUACC